This 492-nucleotide ribosomal RNA is filed under the name uncultured bacterium. Its description in RNAcentral is "partial 16S ribosomal RNA". It matches the Rfam family "Bacterial small subunit ribosomal RNA", at positions 29 to 507 of the family's 1533-position model. The record is from RNAcentral.
AGUGAACGCUGGCGGUAGGCCUAACACAUGCAAGUCGAACGGCAGCACAGUAAGAGCUUGCUCUUACGGGUGGCGAGUGGCGGACGGGUGAGGAAUACAUCGGAAUCUACUUUUUCGUGGGGGAUAACGUAGGGAAACUUACGCUAAUACCGCAUACGACCUACGGGUGAAAGCAGGGGAUCUUCGGACCUUGCGCGAUUGAAUGAGCCGAUGUCGGAUUAGCUAGUUGGCGGGGUAAAGGCCCACCAAGGCGACGAUCCGUAGCUGGUCUGAGAGGAUGGUCGGCCACACUGGAAGUGAGCCACGGUCCAGGCUCCUACGGGAGGCAGCAGUGGGGAAUAUUGGACAAUGGGCGCAAGCCUGAUCCAGCCAUACCGCGUGGGUGAAGAAGGCCUUCGGGUUGUAAAGCCCUUUUGUUGGGAAAGAAAAGCAGCAGGUUAAUACCCCGCUGUUCUGACGGUACCCAAAGAAUAAGCACCGGCUAACUUCGUG